This is an RNA transcript of Bombina bombina (fire-bellied toad), 1556 nucleotides long. It is a transcript of the gene named RNA binding protein, mRNA processing factor, with no coding region annotated. Lineage: Eukaryota; Metazoa; Chordata; Amphibia; Anura; Bombinatoridae. The record is from RefSeq and is a predicted model, not a curated record. The transcript is spliced from 9 exons.
GACUGCUGUUCUAACCCUAAUCAGCUAACUUCCAGGCGCAUUUCCUUCAUUAUCCUUCCUUACGUGCUUUGAAACCAAUGAUAUUCUUAUUCACAAGGCUCUGUCAUAGGAACGAUCUGCUGGAGGAUAAUUAUUCCCCUUAUCUUAUUGCUAUUUAAUAUAUUUAUUUUCAUAACUGUAAACUUUUGGGUUCAGUGUUGGGUACAAGCAAAGUGUAAAGAGUGCGCAGAGGAAGCGAACUUAGAAUACAGAGGGGGAAAAAAGGACCAGAUCGGACAACUCCACAAUGAACAACAAUACAGCAGAGAAGGAGAACUCUCAGGAAGAUAUCAGCCUUCCAGAAGAGGAGGUGAGGACUUUGUUUGUCAGUGGAUUACCGUUAGACAUCAAACCAAGGGAACUGUACUUAUUAUUCCGACCAUUUAAGGGCUAUGAAGGUUCCCUAAUAAAACUUACAUCAAAGCAGCCUGUAGGUUUUGUCAGCUUUGAUAGCCGUUCAGAAGCAGAAGCCGCCAAGAAUGCAUUAAACGGUAUUCGUUUUGAUCCAGAAAUUCCUCAGACGUUACGACUGGAGUUUGCAAAAGCAAAUACAAAAAUGGCCAAGAGCAAGCUAGUCGGUACCCCAAACCCUAGCUCACCUCAGAUUAACAAUAUACCUCAGUUUAUCUCUAGGGAUCAAUAUGAGCUCACAGUGCCUACCCUUUACCCGGGCAGCCCUGAAGUCUGGGCGCCGUAUCCCCUCUACCCAGCGGAAUUAGCACCUGCGCUACCUCCUCCUGCUUUCACCUAUCCCGCUUCACUGCAUGCCCAGGUUCGCUGGCUCCCUCCCUCAGAUGCUACGUCUCAGGGCUGGAAGUCCCGUCAGUUCUGCUGAGUAAUGUGUAACAGGUGUGUGAUCGCGGCUAUUGUCUGUCUUGUGGGUGUUCUCUUCCUUGUUGGCCACUGGAGUCUCAGGCUAUUCAUCACACCAGCGGGCUGGCUUGCAGACCAUCAAUAGCUCCAUGUUAAUACCCUCAAGACUAUGACCCGGACCUCUAUCACACAUCUGCUCUACCAAAACCCGAAGAUGAAACAAGUGAAAAUCCCCUACACUUUUUUACACUGUAAAGAACUGCAGAGUGCCUUAAGUGAAUGCUUGGCUUACCAGACAUUGCUGUCUCUACCGUAUCGCAAACCAAAUGAAGCAGAACUGCUCAUAGCAAGCAAUGUAUGACCCAAGCAAAUGUACACUGUGUUCAGACACAAUAGUUUGUGCUAUGGUUUUGUUUUGACGCUUGUAAUUAAAAUUAUAUCUAUUUUUUCUUUGGGGUUUUUAAGCUGCAUGUUUUUAAGCAUAUGUUGAGAUUUUGUCUUUUUUUUUUAAAAAAAAAGAAGAGGAAAAAUAACUGUAUUUUUGAGAUAUAGAUAUUUUGUUUUAAGGAAACUGUAUAUAUUGAAUACACUUUGGCGCGGUAUACCAGUAUUAUAUAUAUUUUGCCAAUUCUUAUCAAGAUCUGUUAUGGUAAGACAAUUUUAAAGGGAUCUAUUAUUAUUAAAACGUAAAUACUGUAAUUGAA